This is a long non-coding RNA of Octopus sinensis (East Asian common octopus), 1017 nucleotides long. RefSeq lists it as uncharacterized. The transcript has 2 exons. Lineage: Eukaryota; Metazoa; Mollusca; Cephalopoda; Octopoda; Octopodidae. The record is from RefSeq and is a predicted model, not a curated record.
UGUAUAUAUAAUGCAAAUAUUUGAAGUAUUAUUACUGUUAUGAACAGUAAUAAUGAGGUGGCUAGCAAGACUUCUACCUAUACAGACAAUAUUGGUUUACAAAAUUCUUGCCCACAAACCUUAUGAAAAUGAUAACAACCAAACAAUGUUGAGUGAUUUUCUUGUAUGAGUACAAGCUGGGUCACUAUGCCACAGAAGCUCUAUGGAAUAUCAAGGGGGCCUUUGAUAAUGGUUUUGUUGACAUCAGAACUCUUCAGAGAUGGUUCCAAAGAUCUCAUUCUAGAGAUGAUAGUCUUGAAAAUGAACCAAGAGGGAGGCCAAAAUCAGUUAUUCAGCAUGAUGGGUUAAAUGCUUUGGUUGAACAAAAUCCGAGAACAAUGAUCCAAAACUUUCAUAAGAACUCCAAACACCUCACGCAACUGUUUCUCAACACCUGAAAAAAAUUAGAAAAGUCAAGAAAAUGGAUAGGUUUGUUCCACAUCAACUGAAUAAGAUUAAAAAAAAAACAGGUGCCUCAAAGUAUGUUCCUUGUUGCUUUCUUGACUGGGAAAAGAAACAUUUUGCUUUGAAUCAUUACAUGUGAUGAGAAAUGGAUACUCUUUGACAACAGCAGGAGAAUAGGACAGUGAUUAGAUGUAGGAGAGUCAUCUAAACACUACCCAAAACCACCAUUGCACUCUAAAAAGUUAGUGGUCACUGUAUGGUGGUCUGUAAAGGAGGUUAUUCAUUAUUCAUUUUUGCAACAAGGAAAAACAGUAACAUCAACAUUGUAUUGCCAGGAAAUUGAUUGUAUGCAUGAGAAUUUGAAAAAGAAGCAACCCAGACUAGUGGAUAGGGAUGGUCCAAUUUUGCUCCAUGAUAAUGCAUGUCCUCAUACUUCUCAAGCUACGGCCCAAAAGUUGCAAAGCCUAAAUUAUGAGAUCUUGCAACAUCCUCCCUAUUUCCCUGAUAUCUUUCCUAUUGAUUAUCACUUAUUUAAGCAUUUUGAGCUUUUCAUAUGCAAUAAAACAUUCACUU